Molecule: unclassified non-coding RNA, 222 nt
Filed under: uncultured Actinomycetes bacterium
Lineage: Bacteria; Bacillati; Actinomycetota; Actinomycetes
Description: uncultured actinobacterium contains 16S-23S intergenic spacer region
Source: RNAcentral
UCCGAGUUGACCCCGGCAGUCUCCUAUGAGUCCCCACCAUUACGUGCUGGCAACACAGGACAAGGGUUGCGCUCGUUGCGGGACUUAACCCAACAUCUCACGACACGAGCUGACGACAGCCAUGCACCACCUGUAUACCGACCACAAGGGGGGCCGUAUCUCUACGGCUUUCCGGUAUAUGUCAAACCCAGGUAAGGUGGGGAUGACGUUCUUGCUAGGUAA